This 301-nucleotide ribosomal RNA is filed under the name uncultured bacterium. RNAcentral describes it as "partial 16S ribosomal RNA". It matches the Rfam family "Bacterial small subunit ribosomal RNA", at positions 509 to 809 of the family's 1533-position model. The record is from RNAcentral.
CAGCCGCCGCGGGAAUACGGAGGAUCCGAGCGUUAUCCGGAAUUAUUGGGUUUAAAGGGUGCGUAGGCGGAUAGAUAAGUCAGUGGUGAAAGACGGUGGCUCAACCAUCGCAGUGCCGUUGAUACUGUUUAUCUUGAAUAUGGAUGAGGUAGGCGGAAUGUGGCAAGUAGCGGUGAAAUGCAUAGAUAUGCCACAGAACACCGAUUGCGAAGGCAGCUUACCAAGGCAAAAUUGACGCUGAGGCACGAAAGCGUGGGGAUCGAACAGGAUUAGAUACCCGAGUAUCCCUGUCUCUUAUACA